This 72-nucleotide transfer RNA is filed under the name Ictidomys tridecemlineatus (thirteen-lined ground squirrel). Its description in RNAcentral is "Spermophilus tridecemlineatus (thirteen-lined ground squirrel) tRNA". It matches the Rfam family "tRNA". From Rfam's summary of the family: Transfer RNA (tRNA) molecules are approximately 80 nucleotides in length. Their secondary structure includes four short double-helical elements and three loops (D, anti-codon, and T loops). The record is from Rfam by way of RNAcentral. Lineage: Eukaryota; Metazoa; Chordata; Mammalia; Rodentia; Sciuridae.
GGGUAUGUGGCUUAGUGGUAGAGCAAGUACAUAUCAUGCACAAGACCCUGGGUUCAAUCCCUAGUCUGUCUC